AUGGGUUUCAUGAAUCACCAUAUCCAGAGAUUCGUCGACACAGCUUGUUGCGAGAUAAUCUUCAGUUACCAUAUAACUGGAAUUAACCAAUGCAAGUCGAAGAAGGAUUGGUCGGUGCUGCCGGAUGGCGUCAAGUUCGAUCCCACGUAUCAGGAGCUGAUCGAGCACCUUGAGGCCAAAGUGAGUGCUGACAGCGCGAGAUCUCACCCUCUCAUCGAUUUGUUCAUACCAACCAUCGACACCGAGCACGGCAUAUGCUACACCCAUCCUGAGAAAUUUCCAGGUAUAACACUGAGUGGCCUAAGCAAGCAUUUCUUCCAGCGUAAUUCCAGGGCGUUCAAAAGGGGCACGUGGACGCGUCGCAAGAUACAGUCGGAGUGCGGCAUGCACGCGAUGUGGCACAACACCGACAAUACCUUGCCGGUGAUGGUCAACGGCCGGCAGGCGGGCAGCAAAAAGGUUCUGGUGCUGCACACCAACAAGAACUUCGACUAG
This 495-nucleotide ribosomal RNA is filed under the name Triticum aestivum (bread wheat). Its description in RNAcentral is "partial small subunit ribosomal RNA". The record is from RNAcentral. Lineage: Eukaryota; Viridiplantae; Streptophyta; Magnoliopsida; Poales; Poaceae.